UACCAGCUCUUCGAGUGGUGUGGAUGUUUAUUGGGCCUAAAGCAUCCGUAGCUGGCUGGGCAAGUCCCCUGUUAAAUCCACCGAUUUAAUCGUCGGAGUGCGGGUGAUACUGUUCGGCUAGGGGACGGGAGAGGCAGACGGUAUUUUCGGGGUAGGGGUGAGAUCCUAUAAUCCCGGGAAGACCACCAGUGGCGAAGGCUGUCUGCUAGAACGCGCCCGACGGUGAGGGAUGAAAGCUGGGGGAGCGAACCGGAUUAGAUACCCGGGUAGUCCCAGCUGUAAACGAUGCAGGCUAGGUGUUUGGGCGGCCACGUGCCGCUCUAGUGCCGCAGGGAAGCCGUUAAGCCUGCCGCCGUGGGGAGUACGGCCGCAAGGCUAGAAACUUAAAGGAAUUGGCGGGGGAGCACCACGAAGGGGUGAAGCUUGCGGUUU
Molecule: ribosomal RNA, 432 nt
Filed under: uncultured archaeon
Lineage: Archaea
Description: bacterial SSU rRNA
Rfam family: Archaeal small subunit ribosomal RNA
Source: RNAcentral